UUUUUUUUGGUUAAUUUUCAAUUUUUUCCCUCUUCAGUGUUCAGAUACUAUGCAAGGAAUCGAGAGGAGACAGCCGAGCUUCAGGCUCUGGAAGGAUGGUUAGUUUGCAAGACGGUGGCAUGCGCGAAGGGUGGCAUGCGCGAAGGGGAUCCGCAUGCCGGCGAAGGGGUUAUCGGUGUUCAGGUGCGACAUUGUAGCAGACGCACGUCGGUGACGUCAACAGCUGACUGCGCUGAGUCACCCCGAAGCGUAAGGUUUCAUAUACCGCUCCUCAAAUGGAUUGAAAUAUGA
RNAcentral lists this long non-coding RNA (291 nucleotides) under Oryza sativa Indica Group (long-grained rice). RNAcentral describes it as "lncRNA OsMH63_08G002050". Lineage: Eukaryota; Viridiplantae; Streptophyta; Magnoliopsida; Poales; Poaceae. The record is from RNAcentral.